CCCUUAGAUGUUCUGGGCCGCACGCGUGCUACACUGAGUGGAUCAGCGGGUCAGGUUGCGCGAAAGCGUUUCCUAAUCUUUAAAUCCGCUCGUGAUGGGGAUUGACGGUUGCAAUUUUCUGUCAUGAACGAGGAAUACCUUGUAAGCGCGGGUCAUCAUCCCGCGCUGAAUACGUCCCUGCCCUUUGUACACACCGCCCGUCGCUCCUACCGAUUGAGUGGUCCGGUGAGGCUUUGGGAUCUGAGCGGAAAGAGCGUUUCGCUGUUUCUGCUCGGAAAACUCAGCCGAACCUUAUCAUUUAGAGGAAGGAGAAGUCGAAACA
This 322-nucleotide ribosomal RNA is filed under the name uncultured eukaryote. RNAcentral's name for it is "partial 18S ribosomal RNA". It matches the Rfam family "Eukaryotic small subunit ribosomal RNA", at positions 1470 to 1796 of the family's 1831-position model. The record is from RNAcentral.